Molecule: ribosomal RNA, 422 nt
Filed under: uncultured bacterium
Lineage: Bacteria
Description: bacterial SSU rRNA
Rfam family: Bacterial small subunit ribosomal RNA
Source: RNAcentral
UGAGGAAUAUUGGGCAAUGCCCGAAAGGGUGACCCAGCAACGCCGCGUGGAGGAUGAAGGUCGUAAGGUUGUAAACUCCUGUUAGAGGGGAAGAAUAACUAAGUUUGGAGCUUAGUAUGACUGUACCCUCAGAGAAAGCCCCGGCUAACUACGUGCCAGCAGCCGCGGUAAUACGUAGGGGGCAAGCGUUGUCCGGAUUUACUGGGUGUAAAGGGCGCGCAGGCGGAAUGGAAAGUCAGUGGUGAAAUCCUACAGCUUAACUGUAGAACUGCCUUUGAUACUUUCAUUCUUGAGUUCGGGAGAGAGAGACGGAAUUCCAGGUGUAGUGGUGAAAUACGUAGAUAUCUGGAAGAACACCAGUUGCGGAGGCGGUCUCUUGGUCCGAUACUGACGCUGAGGCGCGAAAGCGUGGGGAGCAAACA